CCCUGCAUGGCUGCGGGCGGGGGUGCCGCCCCCUCCCUCCCUCCUUCCUUCGCUGCUGCCGCUGCUCCGCCGCUUGCCGGGCCCGCCGCCCCUUCCGCUUCCCACGCGCGUCCCGGGCCUCCGUGGGAGCGCCGGGGCCGCCCCGCUCGGCUCCGGGCCGGGCUGGGCACCGGGGGCCGCUCCAUCCUCCUCCUCCUCCCCCGCAUGCCGCCUGCGCCGCGGGGAGCCGGGCCGGGCGGGGGUGGGCGCUGCCCGCUGCCAGCCCCGCUGGAUCCGUCCACUGGGGCCGCGCGGGGUCGGGCCGGUGCUUCAGGCCCUUACGGAGUCGCUGGGUGCCGCAGGGAGGGAAGCGGAGCUUCACGAAAUGGGUUCCCUGCCGGGGGACUCGGGCCCUUUCUUUGGAGAGGCGUUCGGAUUCUUCCUCCCCUGGAGAAGAAAAGGGAAUUGUCUGGGCGAGGCACGGAGCUGAAGGCUGACAUUUCGCAGCGCAGCGAGCUGGCACCUCCCGCCCAGAGCUGGCUCUGAAAAGUCUCUUUUUUUAGCUUGGGAGAACGGGUCCUGGCUGAAGGUACCUGGUGUGGCAGCCCAGGCUCGCCCUGUGCAGGAGUUGAGGCUGAACCCCUCGGGAUUUAACUGCAGAAUUAAUAAUUGCUGGCCCUUUGGUGCAGAUCGGUGCAUUAAGUACCAACCUUCUGUCCCCUGGAGAAGCAAGAGGAAACUACUUCUGCUCUGCUAGGGUCUGGCUGGUGAAUGCAAAAGGCACCAUUCCAAAAGUAUUUGUGAUUUUCACUGAAAACAGCGAG
This is a long non-coding RNA of Serinus canaria (Common canary), 803 nucleotides long. RefSeq lists it as uncharacterized. The record is from RefSeq and is a predicted model, not a curated record. The transcript has 2 exons. Lineage: Eukaryota; Metazoa; Chordata; Aves; Passeriformes; Fringillidae.